AGUGAACGCUGGCGGUAGGCCUAACACAUGCAAGUCGAACGGCAGCACAGUAAGAGCUUGCUCUUACGGGUGGCGAGUGGCGGACGGGUGAGGAAUACAUCGGAAUCUACUUUUUCGUGGGGGAUAACGUAGGGAAACUUACGCUAAUACCGCAUACGACCUACGGGUGAAAGCAGGGGAUCUUCGGACCUUGCGCGAUUGAAUGAGCCGAUGUCGGAUUAGCUAGUUGGCGGGGUAAAGGUCCACCAAGGCGACGAUCCGUAGCUGGUCUGAGAGGAUGGUCGGCCACACUGGAACUGAGACACGGUCCAGGCUCCUACGGGAGGCAGCAGUGGGGAAUAUUGGACAAUGGGCGCAAGCCUGGUCCAGCCAUACCGCGUGGGUGAAGAAGGCCUUCGGGUUGUAAAGCCCUUUUGUUGGGAAAGAAAAGCAGCAGGUUAAUACCCCGCUGUUCUGACGGUACCCAAAGAAUAAGCACCGGCUAACUUCGUG
This 492-nucleotide ribosomal RNA is filed under the name uncultured bacterium. RNAcentral describes it as "partial 16S ribosomal RNA". It matches the Rfam family "Bacterial small subunit ribosomal RNA", at positions 29 to 507 of the family's 1533-position model. The record is from RNAcentral.